UUUCCUAGAUUUAGAAACCUGCCCAAGAUUCCUCCUCUUUUUGAAACCGAACCUCUUCAAAACUGAAUUUCAUAAACACCUUUUUUAUUCCAACAAAGAAAAAAUCAAUUUUGACUUCAAAAUCAAAUACAAUGGCUUAUUGAUCAGAUCCAUCUUCUUCCCCAAAGUCGAUCUGAAAUCUGUUCAUAACAAUGCUGCAACACAUUAUCCAUGAAUUGAAUGGGGUUGAAAGGUGUUAGACUCGGUGGUGGUGGGGUGCUCUGAAUGAGGAAACUUUGUUUUUCUUGCCUUUGAUUCUUUUUG
Molecule: long non-coding RNA, 303 nt
Filed under: Trifolium pratense (red clover)
Lineage: Eukaryota; Viridiplantae; Streptophyta; Magnoliopsida; Fabales; Fabaceae
Description: long non-coding RNA (TPRA_LNC005433)
Source: RNAcentral